Molecule: ribosomal RNA, 714 nt
Filed under: uncultured Archaeoglobus sp.
Lineage: Archaea; Methanobacteriati; Methanobacteriota; Archaeoglobi; Archaeoglobales; Archaeoglobaceae
Description: bacterial SSU rRNA
Rfam family: Archaeal small subunit ribosomal RNA
Source: RNAcentral
GGACAACCUGCCCUCGGGAGGGGGAUAACCCCGGGAAACUGGGGCUAAACCCCCAUAGGGGAUGGAUACUGGAAUGUUCCAUCUCCGAAAGUCCGCAAGGAGCCCGAGGAUGGGUCUGCGGCGGAUUAGGUAGUUGGUGGGGUAACGGCCCACCAAGCCUAAGAUCCGUACGGGCCAUGGGAGUGGGAGCCCGGAGAUGGACCCUGAGACAAGGGUCCAGGCCCUACGGGGCGCAGCAGGCGCGAAACCUCCGCAAUGCGGGGAACCGCGACGGGGUCAGCCGGAGUGCCGAUGCUUGCAUCGGCUGUCGGGGAGCCUAAAAAGCUCUCCAAGCAAGGGCCGGGCAAGGCCGGUGGCAGCCGCCGCGGUAAUACCGGCGGCCCGAGUGGCGGUCACUAUUAUUGGGCUUAAAGCGUCCGUAGCCGGGUUGGUUAGUCUCCCGGGAAAUCUGGCCGCUCAACGGUCAGAAUUCCGGGAGAUACUGCCAGCCUAGGGACCGGGAGAGGCCGAGGGUAUUCCCGGAGUAGGGGUGAAAUCCUAUAAUCCCGGGAGGACCACCUGUGGCGAAGGCGCUCGGCUGGAACGGGUCCGACGGUGAGGGACGAAGGCCAGGGGAGCAAACCGGAUUAGAUACCCGGGUAGUCCUGGCUGUAAACGAUGCGGACUUUGUGUCGGACAAGCUAUGAGCUUGUCCGGUGCCGGAGGGAAACCGUU